CCUACGGGAGGCAGCAGUGAGGAAUAUUGGUCAAUGGACGAGAGUCUGAACCAGCCAAGUAGCGUGAAGGAUGACUGCCCUAUGGGUUGUAAACUUCUUUUAUAUGGGAAUAAAAUGUUCCACGUGUGGGAUUUUGUAUGUACCAUAUGAAUAAGGAUCGGCUAACUCCGUGCCAGCAGACGCGGUAAUAAGGAGGAUCCGAGCGUUAUCCGGAUUUAUGGGGCUUAACGGGAGCGUAGGUGGAUUGUUAAGUCAGUUGUGAAAGUUUGCGGCUCAACCGUAAAAUUGCAGUUGAAACUGGCAGUGUUGAGUACAGUAGAGGUGGGCGAAAGUCGUGGUGUAGCGGUGGAAUGCUGAGAUAUCACGAAGAACUCCGAGUGCGAAGGCAGCUCACUGGACUGCAACUGACACUGAGGCUGGAAAGUGUGGGUAUCAAACAGGAUUAGAUACCCUUGUAGUC
This 460-nucleotide ribosomal RNA is filed under the name uncultured bacterium. RNAcentral's name for it is "partial 16S ribosomal RNA". It matches the Rfam family "Bacterial small subunit ribosomal RNA", at positions 338 to 795 of the family's 1533-position model. The record is from RNAcentral.